This 1803-nucleotide long non-coding RNA is filed under the name Taeniopygia guttata (zebra finch). Its description in RNAcentral is "lncRNA (ENSTGUG00000020202.1)". Lineage: Eukaryota; Metazoa; Chordata; Aves; Passeriformes; Estrildidae. The record is from RNAcentral.
UCUGCUGCCAUGGUUAAUAUUUGAAAAUAACCUUUAACUGUUUAUGCAAGCACAGCUCGCCCUGUCCUUUCCUGUGAAUUCUGAAGUCUGUGGAAUUAACCCUCACUGCUGCCCUGUGACUCUUCACUUUCUGCUCUGCUUUUAUGGUGGGAUGAUGGAAAGUUUCUACACGUCAGGGCUGUGAUGGGACAUAGGCAUGGAAUCCACCCCCCAGCACCUGGCCAGCCUGGGUGUUAAACCUGCACACCUUUUUGUGGCACCUGGUCCCUUGCUGAAGAAGGGCUCAUCCUGCAUUUCGUUUUUGCUGAGGAGUGUCGGAAUCUGUGGGUGUUGGUGAUUCCGAGAUUGUAGAAAGUCUCUGUCUUUCUGCCCCGUUGCCAAAGAAGAAGCCAUAAUUGGUCUGUGCUGGUUUCAAGGUUGUUUAUUUUUGCUUAUCUAUAACAAGUUCUGCUGCCCUGCCGCAGGUCUGUCCUGCAGGGCAGUGUGCGGGGCUCUGCCCCUCAGUGGGAUGGUACAAACAUUAUAUACAAAAAAUUACGUGUACUAUAUUUACAAUAAUGUGCCAAUAUCUAUCAUCUACGUUGAAUAGUGUGUCCCUAGCCUAAACCAAUAGAAAAAUGCCAACAUCACCAAGAACAUGGAGGUAAGGAAGAAGAAGGAGGAAGAACAGGAUCAGGUCCACUUUCCUCCAUCUUAGAACUCCUGACCCCCCUGUACAAAGUAAAACCCCCCUGUACAGGUGUUAAAACCCCCCUGUACAAUACUAAAAAAUUUUACCCUCUAAUUUGUGACUACUUUUACUAUACCAUCUAACCCUCUGUGACUGCUUGUUCCACCUUUAAAGUUGGUAAUUCAUUCCAUGGUUCAAACUCAAAAUCACAGCUGUUUUCUGCUGUUUGCCAGGGUCUAAAAUGCUUCUGACCAAGGCCUGGAACCUCUAAAAAUGUCUGAGGGACAUUUUGAGUUCCGACAGAGGAGCACUGACCCACACCUGUCCUGUGAGAUACAAGGAGCUUACUCUGGCUCUUCUCCCCAUUUUUGAAGAACUUCUUGGGACAUCCCCAGGUGGAGUCCAGGGACACAGUGCAGUAGCAGACAACAAUGGAUAUGUGUCACUGAUAAAUUGAAGAAUCUGCCACCAAAAUACAUUUGGAGGCUAAUUUGACAUUUUGCUGAUGGGUUGUCCAACCCGAAUAUCUUAUUUAAAUUAUGCUUACAAAUACACCACGACCUCUGAACACUUCAGUAAUGGGUUUGAGCCAGGAGUGAGUUGUGUUUCACUGAAGUAAUUAUUUAUUCACUUAAUGGGGACUGAUGGUUUUGCUCAGCUGGGAGCUGUACAUAAUUAAAACCAUGGUCCCUGCCCCAAGAGGCUUCCAGUCUGAAAGAUGAAGCAAAGGCUGUGCCAACAGAAAUUGCAGAAAUCCUGUGUGCUCAAACUGGAGGUCCAAAAGUUAUAUUAAAAAAAAAACCAAAUGUGAGCUUUUUUCAUACAACUUGAGACAGGGCAUUUGGGGCUAGCAUGUAUUUAACAGAGGUUUCUGCUUGCAUGGCUGCAACACUGAGAAAGAGAUGUCUGCUAUAAGUCAGAGGUCCUCCAAAAAGCUGUAAGAUAAAUGCAAACCUGCAGGAUAAAAAAUAAAAAAUUUAAAAAAUAUAUACCUAAUCCUGAAACUAUGCUCAGUGUAACCUGAGGAGAAACAUUGCCCAAACUGGAGCUGCUCCCCUUAAACCCAGCCCAGGAAAGUGGGAGCCAGAGCCAGACACCUUGCCCCAGGCAGAGCAGCGUUGAUCAAAGAGACC